CGUGACUGGGAUCCUGGGCUUCCGAGCCUGGGCAGCCGGGUGGGCCAGCCAGUAGGAGCGAGGGGGAAGUAGCGAAGGCCCCAGCGGCGGCAGAUGGAAGGACCCUCCGAGCGCCAGCUGAGUCAUGGGGUGGUGCUAGGCUCUGGAGACACCGAAGCACACAUUCCUGACCCCUGGGAGGGCGAUGCGAAGAUUCACAAGCAGCAGGGAAUGUUGGGGCUGUGCCGUGCAGCCUGCGCUCUAGGAACCCUGUCGGGGAACUGGUUCUCGGAGAGCAAGUCGAGUCUUCCAGGUAGUGGAAACUACACAUUGUUUCCUGUACCGUGACAGCGGAGGAAAAAGGAGAGGUCUUUGAACUGAGGUGGGGGACUUGGGGGUUUUUCUGAGACGGGCUCUCGCUCUGUCGCCCAGGCUGGCGACGCUGGACCUCAGGCAAAGGACAGUAAUCCUUGAGAGACAGGAGACAAAACCAGUUUUCCGUCUGUCCAGCUCCACCACUAAAUAGUGUCUUUAUUCCGAGGAGCUACCUGAUUUGGGACUCAGUCUUCCUACAAGGCAAAAAGAGAAGACCUGGAUGCUCCACGUGGUCCAGACAUGGAGCAAGUAAACCGAGCUCUCGCCACACCGCACAGUCUCCUCAGCCUCCUGCUCAAUGUGCUUUCAUUGGAAAUGCUUAUUGUAAAUGAUGACACUUUUUUAAAACCAAAAUUCAAUUAAAUUCAAUACAUAUUUAUUGGGCACAUGCUUCAUUUAAGUUCCUGGUUUACAAAGAUCCAUUCCUACCCCUGAGGACCUCAUAAUCUGUGGGAGACAUAAAUAGAAACAGCUGAGAAUGAUCAUAUAAAAUCCACACAUAGCCUCUUGCACACAUAUCCCAGAAAGGAAAGGACAAAACUUUAAACGCAUCCAUGCCUUUGGUUUUGGAAAUGUUACGGAUUUUGAGAGUAUCAAAUGCAGUACAUUCUCCUAUUAUUGAGAGUUAGGUAGCUCAGACAAUCUUCUACAGAGAUAUGAAAAGAUAGGUUGAAAAAAUAAGUCUCCAGUUUCUUUGGAGUUUGCUGUUUAGGAAAAAAUGCAACGUAAGUGUCUCAGGGUUGGCUGGGUAUGAUGACUCAUGUCUGUAAUCACAGUGACUCAGAAGGCUUCAGUGGGAUGGAUGGUUGAGUCCAGGAGUUUGAGACCAGCCUGAACAACAUAGCAAGAGCCCGUCUCUAAAAACAUUUUUUUUUAAUUAGCUGGAACGGUGGCACGUAACUGUAGUUCCAGCUACUUGGGAGACUGGGGCAGGAGGAUCACUUGAGCUGAGGAGGUCAAGGCUGCAGUGAGCCAUGAUCAUGCCACUGCACUCCAGCCUGGGCAACAGAACAAGACCUUGUCUGGAAAAAAACAGAACAAAACAAAAAACCCACAAAAGUUACAGGUUGAAGUAGACAAUAUGGUACUAAGAUUCAUAAUAAAAUAAUGGGAAUCACUUAUGUACUCUAUUUUACUUAGUCAUUGCAUUUAAAAUCUGUGAUGAAAUAUACAAUUAUAGGAAUAAUGUAAUUUAAAACCAGUGAAAGGCUGGGCAUGGUGGCUCACACCUGUAAUCCCAGCACUUUGGGAGGCUGAAGGAGGUAGAUCACUUGAGGUCAGGAGUUUGAGACCAGCUUGGCCAACAUGGUGAAACCCCGUCUCUACUAAAUAUACAAAAAAUUAGCCAGGCGUGGUGGCGUGUGCCUGUAGUCCCAGCUACAAGGGAGGCUGAGGCACAAGAAUUGCUUGAACCUGGGAGGCAGAGGUUGCAGUGAGCCGAGAUCACACCACUGCACUGCAGCCUGGGUGACAAAGCAAGACUCUGUCUCAAAACAAAAAAAACAAACAAACAAACAACAGUGAAAGACAGAACUGGUAAGAAGAAAUCAGAUCUGCCUUAAAUUUGGGAUCUGCUAAAAUAGUGGCUCUGUGAUACAUUGUAGCAAGUCAAUGGAUAGCCUCUGCCUUUAGGCAAAGCGAUGAAUAUUAAUCACGAAAGCUCCCCCAGUUUAAGCAAUCUAGUAGGCAGAACCAAAUUCGGCAUAUUGUAAGAGCUCUGGUCUUCCAGCCAGAAUGCCUGGUUUCUGAUUGCAGCUGUUACUUCCUAGCUGUGUGUUCUUGGAGAAGUUACUUGAUCCUCCUGUGCCUCAGUCCCCUUGACAGUAAAAUGAAGAUGAUGGUAAUAGUAUCUGUCCAUGACUAAAUGAGUCACUCCACAGCCCAAGGCAAAUGCUCCAUCAGUGCUCAAUACUAUAAUUGUGAUCAUGCUGGUGUUAAGCAUCCAGGUUUGGGG
This 2308-nucleotide long non-coding RNA is filed under the name Homo sapiens (human). RNAcentral's name for it is "HSALNT0248229". The record is from RNAcentral. Lineage: Eukaryota; Metazoa; Chordata; Mammalia; Primates; Hominidae.